Molecule: transfer RNA, 73 nt
Filed under: Marmota monax (woodchuck)
Lineage: Eukaryota; Metazoa; Chordata; Mammalia; Rodentia; Sciuridae
Description: tRNA.Thr
Rfam family: tRNA (bases 7-67)
About the family: Transfer RNA (tRNA) molecules are approximately 80 nucleotides in length. Their secondary structure includes four short double-helical elements and three loops (D, anti-codon, and T loops). Further hydrogen bonds mediate the characteristic L-shaped molecular structure. tRNAs have two regions of fundamental functional importance: the anti-codon, which is responsible for specific mRNA codon recognition, and the 3' end, to which the tRNAs corresponding amino acid is attached (by aminoacyl-tRNA synthetases). tRNAs cope with the degeneracy of the genetic code in two manners: having more than one tRNA (with a specific anti-codon) for a particular amino acid; and 'wobble' base-pairing, i.e. permitting non-standard base-pairing at the 3rd anti-codon position.
Source: RNAcentral
UGAGGCUGUAGCUCAGUGGUAGAGUUCUUGCCUAGUGUGCAUGAAGCCCUCAGUUCAAUCCUCAGCACCACAA